RNAcentral lists this long non-coding RNA (206 nucleotides) under Lathyrus oleraceus (garden pea). RNAcentral describes it as "Pisum sativum (pea) long non-coding RNA (PSAT_LNC024183)". Lineage: Eukaryota; Viridiplantae; Streptophyta; Magnoliopsida; Fabales; Fabaceae. The record is from RNAcentral.
UUUUUGGAAUUUUUGAAUAUCAAAAAGCAUUUAAAAUGAAUUAAAAACUAAUAAAAACAAAAUAAUUCACAAAAAAUAUUAAAUGGGAUCAAAAAAAUAAUUAAAAAUAAGAUUAUGAAACUAGGUUUUAAAAGAAUUUUUUUGAAAUUGGUCUCAUAUUUUUGUGAUUCCAAAUAAAAGAGUUAUGAAUUUUUGAAAAUAAAUGG